Molecule: non-coding RNA, 429 nt
Organism: Vigna umbellata (rice bean)
Lineage: Eukaryota; Viridiplantae; Streptophyta; Magnoliopsida; Fabales; Fabaceae
Source: RefSeq, a predicted model, not a curated record
UGGCCAAUGAUCGCGCGGUGCUCGAAAUGUCUUCCAUAGAUCCGAGAUCUACUUCUUCUUCCACUUCUGCAUUUACAGAUAUUCCUUUUAAUCUCAGAAGCUUAUUAAUAAAAAAGAAGGAGUAAUAGUUACCUCCAAGGUGCCAGAAACGGGUUUGACCUUAGAACCAACCUCCGAUUCUAUUCCCAAUCGCGAUGAAGUCCAGGAGGUGGAAAACAAAGAAGCAGAAAAUGUUUUACCUGACAAUCAAGAAAUAGACUUAGUAGGAUCUACUAAUGAAGAGGAUGCACUGGAUCCAGAGAAAAUGAGGCUGGAGGAAGCAGCAACAAAGGCACAAGCUGCUUUCAGGGGUUAUUUGAUAGAUGAAAAUGUACAAAGGGAAAUUAUAAAUCACAGAUCAUUGAGGCAUCCCAAUAUUGUCAGGUUCAA